CCUCUAUAGAAACAAUGUUUUGGGCAGCUGCUUGGCAACUACGAGUGAGAGCUUAAAAGUCAAGGUACUUGGCGGCCUUCUAAUCUAACCAGGGGAAUAUGCCAUUUGAGUCCGACGAUCCGCGUUUAUCUUACCCCUCCUUGCAAACGGGUCAGUCAGUGUACUGCCGUUGUCAGCUGGUUGUGGAAGCAAGUUGAAAGCAGCCCAAUGAAGAUCAAAGACUUCGUAAAUUCAGGUCGAAGUGCUGCCUACGGUGGGAGAUAUGGGGUAUUACAAUUCGGACUUUGGGAUCUUGGAAUAACGAAUCCGGGGUUGCAAGACCUUAUUAACGACGGGGAAGAUGAACUUGAAAGUAAGAAGAGAAUAGCAUGCUCUCCUGAAUAAGUGCUAGUUUGCGUACACAUCGCCCGUCGCUCUCGCUCGAAGGG
RNAcentral lists this ribosomal RNA (428 nucleotides) under Spondylus ictericus. Its description in RNAcentral is "partial 12S ribosomal RNA". It matches the Rfam family "Bacterial small subunit ribosomal RNA", at positions 840 to 1414 of the family's 1533-position model. Lineage: Eukaryota; Metazoa; Mollusca; Bivalvia; Pectinida; Spondylidae. The record is from RNAcentral.